GAUGAACGCUGGCGGCGUGCCUAAUACAUGCAAGUCGAGCCAACAGACGAGGAGCUUGCUCCUCUGACGUUAGCGGCGGACGGGUGAGUAACACGUGGAUAACCUACUUAUAAGACUGGGAUAACUUCGGGAAACCGGAGAUAAUACCGGAUAAUAUAUUGAACCGCAUGGUUCAAUAGUGAAAGACGGUUUUGCUGUCACUUAUAGAUGGAUCCGCGCCGCAUUAGCUAGUUGGUAAGGUAACGGCUUACCAAGGCAACGAUGCGUAGCCGACCUGAGAGGGUGAUCGGCCACACUGGAACUGAGACACGGUCCAGACUCCUACGGGAGGCAGCAGUAGGGAAUCUUCCGCAAUGGGCGAAAGCCUGACGGAGCAACGCCGCGUGAGUGAUGAAGGUCUUCGGAUCGUAAAACUCUGUUAUUAGGGAAGAACAAAUGUGUAAGUAACUAUGCACGUCUUGACGGUACCUAAUCAGAAAGCCACGGCUAACUACGUG
Molecule: ribosomal RNA, 497 nt
Filed under: uncultured bacterium
Lineage: Bacteria
Description: partial 16S ribosomal RNA
Rfam family: Bacterial small subunit ribosomal RNA
Source: RNAcentral